RNAcentral lists this long non-coding RNA (1431 nucleotides) under Pan troglodytes (chimpanzee). RNAcentral describes it as "lncRNA (ENSPTRG00000053898.1)". The record is from RNAcentral. Lineage: Eukaryota; Metazoa; Chordata; Mammalia; Primates; Hominidae.
GGAGCCCAUCAGGGUCCCCAGAUUUACAAAUUUCUGACUUCCAUUUUGGGAGUCAGCCAGAGGGGAGAUUUUCUCUGAGGAGGGCAGCUUCAGUUAAACAGAGGGAGUAGCCCCAGGGCUGGCCACUCAACAAGAAGAGAGCUCUGUCGAAGGACAGUGACCUCCGAACACGGGGGGAGGCACAGGCUGCACCCUGCCACUCCCUGCUGUCAGCCCUGGAAAAAGGUGGGGUGUGAGUGUCAAGGACUGGGGAGGUGGGAGGGAAGAGGUCAGCAGAGCUUAGGGAGUGAGCAGAAAGGUUUGGAGCACAUCCUGGAGGUGGGAAGGAAGGGAUGGAAAGAAGGCUGACAAGCGGGCGGGGGAGGGGGGGCGCCUUCCUCCUCUGAGAGGAGGCCCCGCCCCACGCUAUCCGGGCUGUCAGCCCUGAUCAACCCUGACAGAGUUCCCGGAUGUGCUUUGCCGGAUGUGCUUUGCCGGAUGUGCUUUGCCGGAUGUGCUUUGCCGGAUGUGCUUUCCCGGCGGCCAUCUUGGGAGUCUGAAGGACCUGAGGCAUUUUGUGACGAGGAUCGUCUCGGGUCAGCGGAGGGAAGAGACUUAGACCUAUCCAGUCUUCAAGGUGCUCCAGGAAGCAGGAGUUGAAGACCUGGGUGUGAGGGACACAUACAUCCUAAAAGCACCACAGCAGAGGAGGCCCAGGCAGUGCCAGGAGUCAAGGUGAGUGCACGACCUGUGUACCAAGGGCCCUACCCCCAGAAACAGGGCAGAGCUGGCAGCACCUGGCCUGUAGCCACCCACUGUCAUUCCUGGUGCCUCAGGCUCUGCCUGCCAGCUGUGCCCCGAGGUGCUUUCUCAUGUCCUUCUACAGGUUCCCAGGAGACAAACCCCCUAGGAAGACAGGCGACCUGUGAGGCCCUAGAGCACCACCUUAAGAGAAGAAGAGCUGUAAGCCGGCCUUCGUCAGAGCCAUCAUGGGGGACAAGGAUAUGCCUACUGCUGGGAUGCCGAGUCUUCUCCAGAGUUCCUCUGAGAGUCCUCAGAGUUGUCCUGAGGGGGAGGACUCCCAGUCUCCUCUCCAGAUUCCCCAGAGUUCUCCUGAAAGCGACGACACCAUGUAUCCUCUCCAGAGUUCUCAGAGUCGUUCUGAGGGGGAGGACUCCUCGGAUCCUCUCCAGAGACUUCCUGAGGGGAAGGAUUCCCAAUCUCCUCUCCAGAUUCCCCAGAGUUCUCCUGAGAGCGACGACACCCUGUAUCCUCUCCAGAGUCCUCAGAGUCGUUCUGAGGGGGAGGACUCCUCGGAUCCUCUCCAGAGACCUCCUGAGGGGAAGGAUUCCCAAUCUCCUCUCCAGAUUCCCCAGAGUUCUCCUGAGAGCGACGGCACCCUGUAUCCUCUCCAGAGUCCUCAGAGUCGUUCUGAGGGGGAGGACUCCUCGG